This 498-nucleotide ribosomal RNA is filed under the name uncultured bacterium. RNAcentral's name for it is "bacterial SSU rRNA". It matches the Rfam family "Bacterial small subunit ribosomal RNA", at positions 28 to 526 of the family's 1533-position model. The record is from RNAcentral.
GAUGAACGCUAGCGGCAGGCUUAACACAUGCAAGUCGAGGGGUAGAGGAAGCUUGCUUCCUUGAGACCGGCGCACGGGUGCGUAACGCGUAUACAAUCUACCUUUUACAGAGGGAUAGCCCCAGAGAAAUUUGGAUUAAUACCUCAUAGUAUUUUCGGAUCGCAUGAUUUGAUUAUUAAAGUUCCAACGGUAAAGAUGAGUAUGCGUCCCAUUAGCUAGAUGGUAAGGUAACGGCUUACCAUGGCAAUGAUGGGUAGGGGUCCUGAGAGGGAGAUCCCCCACACUGGUACUGAGACACGGACCAGACUCCUACGGGAGGCAGCAGUGAGGAAUAUUGGACAAUGGGCGCAAGCCUGAUCCAGCCAUGCCGCGUGCAGGAAUAAGGUCCUAUGGAUUGUAAACUGCUUUUAUACAGGAAGAAACACACCCUCGUGAGGGUACUUGACGGUACUGUAUGGAUAAGGACCGGCUAACUCCGUGCCAGCAGCCCGGUAAAGU